CAGCAGAAGAAGACGGAAUCUCCAGAAUUAUUUUCCGUGUUUUUCCGCUAUUUAUUUGUAUUAGAAAUCGUCGUCCUGGUUUCCCUGGCUGUUCAAACAGAUCUUCUCAAAAACACAGAGCCAGUGGGUUUGACAAACGGUGGCUGAACCAAUUUACCUGCUCAGGCAAACUGAGGAAGGUGAAGACACCUCUGCGCAGCAGACUGAAGGAGAGACUCUGAUGUCUGUUGUAAGGAGGCCAUGAUGGACCAGACCAGGAGGCCUUGGACUACAUGUACAGUGCAUGAGGAUCUUCUAAAAAAAAAUAGGAGGCUGAAAUGUUCUGUCUGGAUGAGAGAUUUGUCAGUAAACCUGAAACCCUACAAAAAGUCAAAAUCUUACCAAGACUACUUGUCUUAUCCAGUCAAAAUGUUUUAUUUCUAGUCCAAAAAAAUCAUUACAUUUAAAAUAAGACAGUUACCUAAAAAGUAACUUGUUCUAGAAAACCAUUUUCACUCAUUUCAGUCUUGAUGGUAUAAAGGUUAGGGCAUCUAUAAGCUCGUUAGCUUCAGCCCUAACACUUUCUUGUUUCGUUGGAUGAACAUUUUUCAAUGAUUGCUGAUCGAAAUAAACUCAAACUCAUUUCAGUGAAAAUUUUCUCUUGUU
Long non-coding RNA from Cololabis saira (Pacific saury), 645 nucleotides. RefSeq lists it as uncharacterized. The transcript is spliced from 3 exons. The record is from RefSeq and is a predicted model, not a curated record. Lineage: Eukaryota; Metazoa; Chordata; Actinopteri; Beloniformes; Belonidae.